Molecule: ribosomal RNA, 292 nt
Filed under: uncultured bacterium
Lineage: Bacteria
Description: partial 16S ribosomal RNA
Source: RNAcentral
GGACUACUCGGGUAUCUAAUCCCGUUCGCUCCCCUGGCUUUCGCACAUGAGCGUCAGGGACUUGCCAGGACGCUGCCUUCGCCUUCGGUGUUCUUCCAGAUCUCUACGCAUUUCACCGCUCCACCUGGAAUUCCGCGUCCCUCUCAAGCCCUCAAGUCGACCCGUUUUCCAAGGCCUGUCAGAGUUAAGCCCUGACCUGUCACUCGAAACGUAACCGACCGCCUGCGUGCGCUUUACGCCCAAUAAAUCCGGACAACGCUUGCCCCCUACGUAUUACCGCGGCGGCUGGCAC